CAUCCCUGGCGCAGCCCCGGCGCCAGGCUUUUAUUGAAGGCCUGGCAGUAAAUCACAUGGCCGGACGCGUUGUCCCAGGCCUUGAGGGGUUU
Molecule: transfer RNA, 92 nt
Filed under: compost metagenome
Description: tRNA-Asn
Source: RNAcentral